Molecule: ribosomal RNA, 37 nt
Filed under: Cladosporium cladosporioides
Lineage: Eukaryota; Fungi; Ascomycota; Dothideomycetes; Cladosporiales; Cladosporiaceae
Description: partial 18S ribosomal RNA
Source: RNAcentral
AGGAUAAAAGUCGUAACAAGGUCUCCGUAGGUGAACC